RNAcentral lists this small RNA (155 nucleotides) under Mytilus galloprovincialis (Mediterranean mussel). The record is from RNAcentral. Lineage: Eukaryota; Metazoa; Mollusca; Bivalvia; Mytilida; Mytilidae.
UUUUCUAUGGUCGGGUUGUUGUCUCUUUGACACAUUCCCCAUUUCCAUUCUCAAUUUUAAAUUAUAAUUUCAGUUAAAUAUUAAAUGACAGACUUGAAUAAAAUUGAGAAUGGAAAUGGGGAAUGUGUCAAAGAGACAACAACCCGACUAUAGAG